GACGAACGCUGGCGGCGUGCUUAACACAUGCAAGUCGAGCGGAAAGGCCCUUUCGGGGGUACUCGAGCGGCGAACGGGUGAGUAACACGUGAGUAAUCUGCCCUUGGCUUUGGGAUAACUACCGGAAACGGUGGCUAAUACCGGAUAUGACCAUGCUCGGCAUCGGGUGUGGUGGAAAGUUUUUUCGGCCAGGGAUGUGCUCGCGGCCUAUCAGCUUGUUGGUGGGGUAAUGGCCUACCAAGGCUUCGACGGGUAGCCGGCCUGAGAGGGUGACCGGCCACACUGGGACUGAGACACGGCCCAGACUCCUACGGGAGGCAGCAGUGGGGAAUAUUGGACAAUGGGCGGAAGCCUGAUCCAGCAACGCCGCGUGAGGGAUGACGGCCU
Molecule: ribosomal RNA, 387 nt
Filed under: uncultured bacterium
Lineage: Bacteria
Description: bacterial SSU rRNA
Rfam family: Bacterial small subunit ribosomal RNA
Source: RNAcentral